This 275-nucleotide long non-coding RNA is filed under the name Malus domestica (apple). RNAcentral describes it as "long non-coding RNA (MDOM_LNC006862)". Lineage: Eukaryota; Viridiplantae; Streptophyta; Magnoliopsida; Rosales; Rosaceae. The record is from RNAcentral.
GGGGGGGGAUGGGGGAUUCGAAGGCCCGGGGGAGGAAGAAGGGGAUCUAAAAAGGGGGUUUGAUUUGGAAAAGAGUGGGAUUUAGGAAGAAGCAGAUGGGCUUGUCACCUUGGUCUUUCGCAUGUUUCCAUUUCCAGGAAGAAGCAGAGAGGGACUGACUGAGAGGAGAGCUCUCGGAGAAGAAGAGAGAAGGAUCGAGAUUCAAGAAGACUGAAAGGAGAAGAGAGAGGGAUUGACUGAGAGCUCUCGGUGUGCGUGUGUGGUGUGGGUUCUCU